This 497-nucleotide ribosomal RNA is filed under the name uncultured bacterium. Its description in RNAcentral is "partial 16S ribosomal RNA". It matches the Rfam family "Bacterial small subunit ribosomal RNA", at positions 28 to 507 of the family's 1533-position model. The record is from RNAcentral.
GACGAACGCUGGCGGCGUGCCUAACACAUGCAAGUCGAGCGAACCGACCAGGUGCUUGCUCCUCUGACGUCAGCGGCGGAGGGGUGAGUCACUUGUGUAUAACCUACCUAUAAGACUGGGAUAACUUCGGGAAACCGGAGCUACUACCGGAUGAUAUAUUGCACCUCGUGGUUCAAUAGUUAGAUUCGGUUUUUGUGUCAGUUAUAGCUUGCUCCGCGCCGCAUUAGCUCGUUGGUAAGGUAAAGGCUUACCAAGGCAACGAGGCGUAGCCGACCCGAGAGGGUGAUCGGCCACACUGGAACUGAGACACGGUCCAGGCUCCUACGGGAGGCAGCAGUAGGGAAUCUUCCGCAAUGGGCGAAAGCCUGACGGAGCAACGCCGCGUGAGUGAUGAAGGUCUUCGGAUCGUAAAACUCUGUUAUUAGGGAAGAACAAAUGUGUAAGUAACUAUGCACGUCUUGACGGUACCUAAUCAGAAAGCCACGGCUAACUACGUG